This 1029-nucleotide ribosomal RNA is filed under the name uncultured bacterium. RNAcentral's name for it is "bacterial SSU rRNA". It matches the Rfam family "Bacterial small subunit ribosomal RNA", at positions 30 to 1067 of the family's 1533-position model. The record is from RNAcentral.
UGGGUGUUGGCGGCGGCUACACAUGCAGUCGAGCGGCAGCGGGUCCUUCGGGAUGCCGGCGAGCGGCGGACGGGUGAGUAAUGCCUAGGAAUCUGCCUGGUAGUGGGGGAUAACUCGGGGAAACUCGAGCUAAUACCGCAUACGUCCUACGGGAGAAAGCGGGGGAUCUUCGGACCUCGCGCUACCAGAUGAGCCUAGGUCGGAUUAGCUAGUUGGUGAGGUAAAGGCUCACCAAGGCGACGAUCCGUAGCUGGUCUGAGAGGAUGAUCAGCCACACUGGAACUGAGACACGGUCCAGACUCCUACGGGAGGCAGCAGUGGGGAAUAUUGGACAAUGGGCGAAAGCCUGAUCCAGCCAUGCCGCGUGUGUGAAGAAGGUCUUCGGAUUGUAAAGCACUUUAAGUUGGGAGGAAGGGCAGUAAGUUAAUACCUUGCUGUUUUGACGUUACCGACAGAAUAAGCACCGGCCAACUUCGUGCCAGCAGCCGCGGUAAUACGAAGGGUGCAAGCGUUAAUCGGAAUUACUGGGCGUAAAGCGCGCGUAGGUGGUUUGAUAAGUUGGAUGUGAAAGCCCCGGGCUCAACCUGGGAAUUGCAUCCAAAACUGUCUGACUAGAGUAUGGCAGAGGGUGGUGGAAUUUCCUGUGUAGCGGUGAAAUGCGUAGAUAUAGGAAGGAACACCAGUGGCGAAGGCGACCACCUGGGCUAAUACUGACACUGAGGUGCGAAAGCGUGGGGAGCAAACAGGAUUAGAUACCCCGGUAGUCCACGCCGUAAACGAUGUCGACUAGCCGUUGGGAUCCUUGAGAUCUUAGUGGCGCAGCUAACGCAUUAAGUCGACCGCCUGGGGAGUACGGGCCGCAAGGUUAAAACCCAAAUGAAUUGACGGGGGCCCGCACAGCGGUGGAGCAUGUGGUUUAAUUCGUAGCAACGCGAGACCUUACCAGGCCUUGACAUGCAGAGACUUUCAGAGAUGAUUGUGCUUCGGAACUCUGACAAAGGUGCUGCAUGCUGUCGUCAGCUCGUGUCG